This 253-nucleotide ribosomal RNA is filed under the name uncultured bacterium. RNAcentral's name for it is "partial 16S ribosomal RNA". It matches the Rfam family "Bacterial small subunit ribosomal RNA", at positions 524 to 776 of the family's 1533-position model. The record is from RNAcentral.
UACGUAGGAGGCGAGCGUUGUCCGGAGUUACUGGGCGUAAAGGGUGCGCAGGCGGUGGCCCGCGUGGGCGGUGAAAGCUCCUGGCUCAACUGGGAGAGGGCCGUCCAGACGGGGUCACUUGAGGGGCGGAGAGGGGCGUGGAAUUCCGGGUGGAUCGGUGAAAUGCGUAGAGAUCCGGAGGAACACCAAAGGCGAAGGCAGUGUCCUGGGGAGUACCUGACGCUCAGGUGCGAAAGCCAGGGGAGCGAACGGG